AAGCCCAGCUUGCUGGGUGGAUUAGUGGCGAACGGGUGAGUAACACGUGAGCAACCUGCCCCUGACUCUGGGAUAAGCGCUGGAAACGGCGUCUAAUACUGGAUACGAACAAGAAUCGCAUGGUUACUUGUUGGAAAGAUUUUUUGGUUGGGGAUGGGCUCGCGGCCUAUCAGCUUGUUGGUGAGGUAAUGGCUCACCAAGGCGUCGACGGGUAGCCGGCCUGAGAGGGUGACCGGCCACACUGGGACUGAGACACGGCCCAGACUCCUACGGGAGGCAGCAGUGGGGAAUAUUGCACAAUGGGCGGAAGCCUGAUGCAGCAACGCCGCGUGAGGGAUGACGGCCUUCGGGUUGUAAACCUCUUUUAGCAGGGAAGAAGCGAGAGUGACGGUACCUGCAGAAAAAGCGCCGGCUAACUACGUGCCAGCAGCCGCGGUAAUACGUAGGGCGCAAGCGUUAUCCGGAAUUAUUGGGCGUAAAGAGCUCGUAGGCGGUUUGUCGCGUCUGCUGUGAAAUCCCGAGGCUCAACCUCGGGCCUGCAGUGGGUACGGGCAGACUAGAGUGCGGUAGGGGAGAUUGGAAUUCCUGGUGUAGCGGUGGAAUGCGCAGAUAUCAGGAGGAACACCGAUGGCGAAGGCAGAUCUCUGGGCCGUAACUGACGCUGAGGAGCGAAAGGGUGGGGAGCAAACAAGCUUAGAUACCCUGGGUAGUCCACCCCGUAAACGUUGGGAACUAGUUGU
Molecule: ribosomal RNA, 740 nt
Filed under: Microbacterium ginsengiterrae
Lineage: Bacteria; Bacillati; Actinomycetota; Actinomycetes; Micrococcales; Microbacteriaceae
Description: bacterial SSU rRNA
Rfam family: Bacterial small subunit ribosomal RNA
Source: RNAcentral